Molecule: long non-coding RNA, 362 nt
Organism: Lolium rigidum
Lineage: Eukaryota; Viridiplantae; Streptophyta; Magnoliopsida; Poales; Poaceae
Exons: 3
Source: RefSeq, a predicted model, not a curated record
GGAUGUCAAGCAAUAUGUUUUUACUUCGAACUACAUUUGUCUGUUCCUACUGUUAUAAAUAUACCCUUUUGUUGUUUCAGUUUCAUGCAGAUGAUAUAUGUGGACAAAUGGACUGGCAAGGUAUGGAACAACUGCCUAUUUUCUGUGGCUGGAGAAUACAAAUACAAUAUCGACGAAUGCAAGGACCCAUAUCUAUGCCGUGGGAGGAUGCAGCAGUGCAUUAAUCUGGUUGGAAGCUACGAGUGUAAAUGCAAGAGCGGAACGAUGGUUGGCGCGGGAGGAGAAUGCAUAGAUAUAAUAUCUACAAUUGCUAAGGUGGUUGCCGGUUGGAGUGGGAGAAGUUGUAUAAGCUUAAGUGGCCA